Molecule: ribosomal RNA, 460 nt
Filed under: uncultured bacterium
Lineage: Bacteria
Description: partial 16S ribosomal RNA
Rfam family: Bacterial small subunit ribosomal RNA
Source: RNAcentral
CCUACGGGAGGCAGCAGUGAGGAAUAUUGGUCAAUGGGCGCAGGCCUGAACCAGCAAAGUCGCGUGAGGGAAGACUGCCCUAUGGGUUGUAAACUUCUUUUAUAGGGGAAGAAUAAUGACUACGUGUAGUCAGAUGCAUGUACCUUAUGAAUAAGCAUCGGCUAACUCCGUGCCAGCAGCCGCGGUAAUACGGAGGAUGCGAGCGUUAUGCGGAUUUAUUGGGUUUAAAGGGUGAGUAGGUUGGUUUUUAAGGUAGUGGUCAAAGCGUGGGGCUCAAACAUAGUUAGGCCUUUAAUACUGGAAUACUAGAGUAUAGACGAGGUAGGCGGAAUAAGUUGAGUAGCGGUGAAAUGCUUAGAUAUAACGUAGAACCCCGAUAGCGAAGGCAGCUUACCAGACUGUAACUGACGCUGAAGCACGAGAGCGUGGGUAGCGAACAGGAUUAGAUACCCUAGUAGUC